GAUGAAGAACGUAGCGAAACGCGAUAUGUAAUGUGAAUUGCAGAAUUCAGUGAAUCAUCGAAUCUUUGAACGCACAUGGCGCCUUCCAGUAUCCUGGGAGGCAUGCCUGUCCGAGCGUCGUUUCAACCCUCGAGCCCCCGUGGCCCGGCGUUGGGGAUCUGCCCAGGCAGUCCCCGAAAACCAGUGGCGGACCCGUUAGGCCCUUCCUUUGCGUAGUAGCAUCAGCCUCGCAUCGGGAGCCGGCGGGCUCUCCUGCCUCUAAACCCCCCAACAAGCCCGCUCCGGCGGCACCAAGGUUGACCUCGGAUCAGGUAGGAAUACCCGCUGAACUUAAGCAUAUCAAUAAGCGGAGGA
Molecule: unclassified non-coding RNA, 354 nt
Filed under: soil metagenome
Description: partial contains 5.8S ribosomal RNA, internal transcribed spacer 2, and large subunit ribosomal RNA
Rfam family: 5.8S ribosomal RNA (bases 1-120)
Source: RNAcentral